RNAcentral lists this ribosomal RNA (1259 nucleotides) under uncultured bacterium. RNAcentral's name for it is "partial 16S ribosomal RNA". It matches the Rfam family "Bacterial small subunit ribosomal RNA", at positions 49 to 1340 of the family's 1533-position model. The record is from RNAcentral.
CUACCAUGCAGUCGAGCGGUAAGGCCCUUUCGGGGGUACACGAGCGGCGAACGGGUGAGUAACACGUGGGUGAUCUGCCCUGCACUCGGGGAUAAGCCUGGGAAACUGGGUCUAAUACCGGAUAUGAGCUCCUGUCGCAUGGCGGGGGUUGGAAAGGUUUACUGGUGCAGGAUGGGCCCGCGGCCUAUCAGCUUGUUGGUGGGGUAAUGGCCUACCAAGGCGACGACGGGUAGCCGGCCUGAGAGGGCGACCGGCCACACUGGGACUGAAACACGGCCCAAACUCCUACGGGAGGCAGCAGUGGGGAAUAUUGCACAAUGGGCGAAAGCCUGAUGCAGCGACGCCGCGUGAGGGAUGACGGCCUUCGGGUUGUAAACCUCUUUCAGCAGGGACGAAGCGAAAGUGACGGUACCUGCAGAAGAAGCACCGGCCAACUACGUGCCAGCAGCCGCGGUAAUACGUACGGUGCGAGCGUUGUCCGGAAUUACUGGGCGUAAAGAGCUCGUAUGCGGUUUGUCCCGUCGUCUGUGAAAACCCGCAGCUCAACUGCGGGCUUGCAGGCUAUACGGGCAGACUUGAGUACUGCAGGGGAGACUGGAAUUCCUGGUGUAGCGGUGAAAUGCGCAGAUAUCAGGAGGAACACCGGUGGCGAAAGCGGGUCUCUGGGCAGUAACUGACGCUGAGGAGCGAAAGCGUGAGUAGCGAACACGAUUAGAUACCCUGGUAGUCCACGCCGUAAACGGUGGGCGCUAGGUGUGGGUUUCCUUCCACGGGAUCCGUGCCGUAGCUAACGCAUUAAGCGCCCCGCCUGGGGAGUACGGCCGCAAGGCUAAAACUCAAAGGAAUUGACGGGGGCCCGCACAAGCGGCGGAGCAUGUGGAUUAAUUCGAUGCAACGCGAAGAACCUUACCUGGGCUUGACAUAUACCGGAAACACCUAGAGAUAGGUGCCACCUUGUGUUCCGUAUACACGUGGUGCAUGGCUGUCAUCAGCUCCUGUCGUGAGAUGUUGGGUUAAGUCCGGCAACGACUGCAACCCUUGUCCUGUGUGGCCAGCGCGUAAUGCCUGGGACUCGCAGCAAACUGCCGAGGUCAAUCCGGAGGAAGUUGGGAACGACGUCAAUCUUCAUGCCCCUUAGUCCAGGGUUCCCCCUCCCACAAUGGCCGGUCCAAGGGCUCCAUACCUUAAGUGGAAAAAUCCCUUAAACCGGUCCGGUUGGAUCGGGUUGGAACCCCACCCCGUAAACCCAAUCCCUUGAA